RNAcentral lists this ribosomal RNA (481 nucleotides) under Treponema sp. oral taxon 230. RNAcentral describes it as "bacterial SSU rRNA". It matches the Rfam family "Bacterial small subunit ribosomal RNA", at positions 29 to 495 of the family's 1533-position model. The record is from RNAcentral. Lineage: Bacteria; Pseudomonadati; Spirochaetota; Spirochaetia; Treponematales; Treponemataceae.
AACGAACGCUGGCGGCGCGUCUUAAGCAUGCAAGUCGAACGGCAAGAGAGGAGCUUGCUUCUCUCCUAGAGUGGCGGACUGGUGAGGAACACGUGGGUAAUCUACCCUUAAGAUGGGGAUAGCUGCUAGAAAUAGCAGGUAAUACCGAAUACACUCGAAGUUUCAUAAGAAGCUUUGAGGAAAGGAAGCUACGGCUUCGCUUGAGGAUGAGCUUGCGUCCCAUUAGCUCGUUGGUGAGGUAACGGCCCACCAAGGCGACGAUGGGUAUCCGGCCUGAGAGGGUGACGACACAUUGGGACUGAGAUACGGCCCAAACUCCUACGGAGGCAGCAGCUAAGAAUAUUCCGCAAUGGACGGAAGUCUGACGGAGCGACGCCGCGUGGAUGAAGAAGGCUGAAAAGUUGUAAAAUCCUUUUGUUGAUGAAGAAUAAGGGUGAGAGGGAAUGCUCAUCUGAUGACGGUAAUCGGCGAAUAAGCCCCG